This 470-nucleotide ribosomal RNA is filed under the name uncultured bacterium. RNAcentral's name for it is "partial 16S ribosomal RNA". It matches the Rfam family "Bacterial small subunit ribosomal RNA", at positions 28 to 507 of the family's 1533-position model. The record is from RNAcentral.
GACGAACGCUGGCGGCGUGCUUAACACAUGCAAGUCGAACGGUGAACGAGGGAGCUUGCUCCCUCCGGAUCAGUGGCGAACGGGUGAGUAACACGUGAGCAAUCUGCCCCGAACUCUGGGAUAAGCGUUGGAAACGACGUCUAAUACCGGAUACGACGCGGGAGGGCAUCCUCUCCGCGUGGAAAGAACUUCGGUUCGGGAUGAGCACGCUGCCUCUCAGCUUGUUGGUGAGGUAACGGCUCACCAAGGCGACGACGGGUAGCCGGCCUGAGAGGGUGACCGGCCACACUGGGACUGAGACACGGCCCAGACUCAUACGGGAGGCAGCAGUGGGGAAUAUUGCACGAUGGGCGCAAGCCUGAUGCAGCAACGCCGCGUGGGGGACGACGGCCUUCGGGUUGUAAACCUCUUUUAGCAGGAAAGAAGCGAAAGUGACGGUACCUGCAGAGAAAGCACCGGCUAACUACGUG